AGUGAACGCUGGCGGUAGGCCUAACACCUGCAAGUCGAACGGCAGCACAGUAAGAGCUUGCUCUUACGGGUGGCGAGUGGCGGACGGGUGCGGAAUACAUCGGAAUCUACUUUUUCGUGGGGGAUAACGUAGGGAAACUUACGCUAAUACCGCAUACGACCUACGGGUGAAAGCAGGGGAUCUUCGGACCUUGCGCGAUUGAAUGAGCCGAUGUCGGAUUAGCUAGUUGGCGGGGUAAAGGCCCACCAAGGCGACGAUCCGUAGCUGGUCUGAGAGGAUGAUCAGCCACACUGGAACUGAGACACGGUCCAGACUCCUACGGGAGGCAGCAGUGGGGAAUAUUGGACAAUGGGCGCAAGCCUGAUCCAGCCAUACCGCGUGGGUGAAGAAGGCCUUCGGGUUGUAAAGCCCUUUUGUUGGGAAAGAAAAGCAGCAGGUUAAUACCCCGCUGUUCUGACGGUACCCAAAGAAUAAGCACCGGCUAACUUCGUG
This 492-nucleotide ribosomal RNA is filed under the name uncultured bacterium. RNAcentral's name for it is "partial 16S ribosomal RNA". It matches the Rfam family "Bacterial small subunit ribosomal RNA", at positions 29 to 507 of the family's 1533-position model. The record is from RNAcentral.